GUGUCAUGGUCAUUGUUGACCAUUCAUAUGACCCAUACAAUUGCAUUGCAGCUUCUGUGGGGUUAUAUAAUGAUCAACAGAGACCUUUGACAU
This is a microRNA precursor of Medicago truncatula (barrel medic), 93 nucleotides long. It matches the Rfam family "MIR2587 microRNA precursor family". Lineage: Eukaryota; Viridiplantae; Streptophyta; Magnoliopsida; Fabales; Fabaceae. The record is from Rfam.